RNAcentral lists this ribosomal RNA (253 nucleotides) under uncultured bacterium. RNAcentral's name for it is "partial 16S ribosomal RNA". It matches the Rfam family "Bacterial small subunit ribosomal RNA", at positions 524 to 776 of the family's 1533-position model. The record is from RNAcentral.
UACGUAGGGGGCAAGCGUUGUCCGGAAUCAUUGGGCGUAAAGCGAGCGUAGGCGGCCCGAUAAGUCUGCUGUAAAAGUCAACGGCUCAACCGUUGAAAGCCGGUGGAUACUGUCGGGCUAGAGUUCGGAAGAGGCAAGUGGAAUUCCUGGUGUAGCGGUGGAAUGCGCAGAUAUCAGGAGGAACACCGGUGGCGAAGGCGGUUCUCUGGGCAUGUCCUGACGCUGAGGAGCGAAAGUGUGGGGAGCGAACAGG